AUGGAAAAGAGCACAAUAGUCAGGUUCACCGCAAAGUUUCUUGUUGUGGCAAGUGGUGAGAAUAGUGCAGAGAAUAUUCCAAUGAUCCCCGGACUGCAAAGUUUUCCGGGUGAUGUCAUCCACUCCUCAAGCUACAAGUCAGGCAAGAGCUACUCUGGCAUGAAUGUAUUGGUUGUUGGAUCUGGCAACUCCGGAAUGGAAAUUGCUUAUGACCUUGUGGCCCAUGGUGCCAAUACUUCAGUUGUUAUACGAAGCCCGAUUCAUGUAGUGACAAAGGAACUAAUCCGGUUGGGGAUGACACUUGCUCGCCGUCUUCCACUGAAUCUAGUGGAUAACCUCCUUGUGAUGGCGGCGAAUUUAAUAUUUGGAGACCUAUCGAGGUAUGGCAUCAGAAGGCCAAAAAUGGGUCCAAUGAUCCUCAAGUAA
Molecule: ribosomal RNA, 426 nt
Filed under: Triticum aestivum (bread wheat)
Lineage: Eukaryota; Viridiplantae; Streptophyta; Magnoliopsida; Poales; Poaceae
Description: partial small subunit ribosomal RNA
Source: RNAcentral